Non-coding RNA from Vicugna pacos (alpaca), 208 nucleotides. The record is from RefSeq and is a predicted model, not a curated record. NCBI's taxonomy places the organism in Eukaryota, Metazoa, Chordata, Mammalia, Artiodactyla, Camelidae.
GCUGCUAAAGCUGUUCCAUGCCUAUUGGCCGAAUACUCCAAGCUUGUACUUUACCUAUAAAACUUCAUGCACACGUAUUGGAGGUGCUCAGAGCUUCGGAGCAGAAGCCCCUCUGAGCCCGCCGGCAUAAUACAUCUGAGUACUCCAACCCUCUGAGUGGUGCUUGUUUCUUGGCUGGCCUGUCAUUUCCGUAACAUAACCACUGUUU